This 212-nucleotide unclassified non-coding RNA is filed under the name Hevea brasiliensis (rubber tree). The record is from RNAcentral. Lineage: Eukaryota; Viridiplantae; Streptophyta; Magnoliopsida; Malpighiales; Euphorbiaceae.
GUGGCCUUAAGAAUGACAUGUUGGGCGAUUUCUUCCCCCAAUAUUUCAUUCAAGGCUUCGUGCAAAUACUCCCUGAACACUGUAUAGCUUGUAUAUAAAGCCCCUUCAAUUGCAACAACUGUUCUUUUCAUCUUCAUGUCGCUUCUACCUCUUACACUGUUGAUGCCCCCUGUUCCAUCCCGGCCAAUCUUCUUCAAGAUUCCCACAAUGCC